CCCGCGGUGCGGCCCUGCCUGGUCUGGCCGCGCGCCCGGCGCCCACCGGCUCCCGCAGCGCCCCCUCCCCGCCGCCUCCCGCCGCAGCGGGGCGGCUGCUGGGAGCAUCUGCGGACCGCGCGGGGCUCAGGGAAGGGAACAUUGCUUACUGAUAAUGACUACACGGAUCACAGGGUCCAGUCAGAGGCUAUAGAGUUCAAUCAGCUAAAUGUUUCGGAAGUGACACUGAACUAAGGAGGUCAAAGGCUAAUUUAAGAAGACAGCUUGUCUCCCCCACAAUAAUCCCCUCCCCAACGCACAGAACCCAUAAACCAACGAAAUAAAGAAACAACAGAUUUCACCCUUUCUACAAA
Erinaceus europaeus (western European hedgehog) is the source of this 353-nucleotide long non-coding RNA. RefSeq lists it as uncharacterized. The transcript has 2 exons. NCBI's taxonomy places the organism in Eukaryota, Metazoa, Chordata, Mammalia, Eulipotyphla, Erinaceidae. The record is from RefSeq and is a predicted model, not a curated record.